Molecule: ribosomal RNA, 1617 nt
Filed under: Staphylococcus aureus
Lineage: Bacteria; Bacillati; Bacillota; Bacilli; Caryophanales; Staphylococcaceae
Description: partial 23S ribosomal RNA
Rfam family: Bacterial large subunit ribosomal RNA
Source: RNAcentral
GAAAGACGGGUGAGAAUCCCGUCCACCGAUUGACUAAGGUUUCCAGAGGAAGGCUCGUCCGCUCUGGGUUAGUCGGGUCCUAAGCUGAGGCCGACAGGCGUAGGCGAUGGAUAACAGGUUGAUAUUCCUGUACCACCUAUAAUCGUUUUAAUCGAUGGGGGGACGCAGUAGGAUAGGCGAAGCGUGCGAUUGGAUUGCACGUCUAAGCAGUAAGGCUGAGUAUUAGGCAAAUCCGGUACUCGUUAAGGCUGAGCUGUGAUGGGGAGAAGACAUUGUGUCUUCGAGUCGUUGAUUUCACACUGCCGAGAAAAGCCUCUAGAUAGAAAAUAGGUGCCCGUACCGCAAACCGACACAGGUAGUCAAGAUGAGAAUUCUAAGGUGAGCGAGCGAACUCUCGUUAAGGAACUCGGCAAAAUGACCCCGUAACUUCGGGAGAAGGGGUGCUCUUUAGGGUUAACGCCCAGAAGAGCCGCAGUGAAUAGGCCCAAGCGACUGUUUAUCAAAAACACAGGUCUCUGCUAAACCGUAAGGUGAUGUAUAGGGGCUGACGCCUGCCCGGUGCUGGAAGGUUAAGAGGAGUGGUUAGCUUCUGCGAAGCUACGAAUCGAAGCCCCAGUAAACGGCGGCCGUAACUAUAACGGUCCUAAGGUAGCGAAAUUCCUUGUCGGGUAAGUUCCGACCCGCACGAAAGGCGUAACGAUUUGGGCACUGUCUCAACGAGAGACUCGGUGAAAUCAUAGUACCUGUGAAGAUGCAGGUUACCCGCGACAGGACGGAAAGACCCCGUGGAGCUUUACUGUAGCCUGAUAUUGAAAUUCGGCACAGCUUGUACAGGAUAGGUAGGAGCCUUUGAAACGUGAGCGCUAGCUUACGUGGAGGCGCUGGUGGGAUACUACCCUAGCUGUGUUGGCUUUCUAACCCGCACCACUUAUCGUGGUGGGAGACAGUGUCAGGCGGGCAGUUUGACUGGGGCGGUCGCCUCCUAAAAGGUAACGGAGGCGCUCAAAGGUUCCCUCAGAAUGGUUGGAAAUCAUUCAUAGAGUGUAAAGGCAUAAGGGAGCUUGACUGCGAGACCUACAAGUCGAGCAGGGUCGAAAGACGGACUUAGUGAUCCGGUGGUUCCGCAUGGAAGGGCCAUCGCUCAACGGAUAAAAGCUACCCCGGGGAUAACAGGCUUAUCUCCCCCAAGAGUUCACAUCGACGGGGAGGUUUGGCACCUCGAUGUCGGCUCAUCGCAUCCUGGGGCUGUAGUCGGUCCCAAGGGUUGGGCUGUUCGCCCAUUAAAGCGGUACGCGAGCUGGGUUCAGAACGUCGUGAGACAGUUCGGUCCCUAUCCGUCGUGGGCGUAGGAAAUUUGAGAGGAGCUGUCCUUAGUACGAGAGGACCGGGAUGGACAUACCUCUGGUGUACCAGUUGUCGUGCCAACGGCAUAGCUGGGUAGCUAUGUGUGGACGGGAUAAGUGCUGAAAGCAUCUAAGCAUGAAGCCCCCCUCAAGAUGAGAUUUCCCAACUUCGGUUAUAAGAUCCCUCAAAGAUGAUGAGGUUAAUAGGUUCGAGGUGGAAGCAUGGUGACAUGUGGAGCUGACGAAUACUAAUCGAUCGAAGACUUAAUCAAAA